UACAGAGGUCUCAAGCGUUGUUCGGAAUCACUGGGCGUAAAGGGCGCGUAGGCGGCCUGAUAAGUAGGGGGUGAAAUCCUGCGGCUUAACCGCAGGGCUGCCUUCUAAACUGUCAGGCUCGAGCACAGUAGAGGCAGGUGGAAUUCCCGGUGUAGCGGUGGAAUGCGUAGAGAUCGGGAAGAACAUCAGUGGCGAAGGCGGCCUGCUGGGCUGUUGCUGACGCUGAGGCGCGACAGCGUGGGGAGCAAACAGG
Molecule: ribosomal RNA, 253 nt
Filed under: uncultured bacterium
Lineage: Bacteria
Description: partial 16S ribosomal RNA
Rfam family: Bacterial small subunit ribosomal RNA
Source: RNAcentral